UCAAGCAAGAAAGAGCACAAGGAGAAUGCCUUGGCACUAGGAGCCGAUGAAAGACGUGGUAAGCUGCGAAAAGCUUCGGGGAGGCGCAAACAGCCAUCGAUCCGGAGAUAUCUGAAUGGGGAAACCUACUUGAGCAAACCUCAAGUAUCCAUGCGUGAAUCCAUAGCGUAUGGAAGGGAACGCUGUGAACUGAAACAUCUAAGUAGCAGUAGGAGGAGAAAGAAAACUCGAUUUCCUAAGUAGCGGCGAGCGAACGGGAAAGAGGCCAAACCGAAGGACCUGGUUCUUCGGGGUUGCGGACUGCAAUUAGCAUUGCUGAGAGAUAGACGAAUGGUUUUGGGAAAGCCAGCCGUAGACGGUGAAAGCCCGGUAGACGAAAUCUUGAAGCAGCGAGCAGGAUCCAGAGUACCACGAGACACGAGAAACCUUGUGGGAAGCCGGGGGGACCACCCCCCAAGCCUAAAUACUCCCUAGUGACCGAUAGUGAAGCAGUACUGUGAAGGAAAGGUGAAAAGGACCCCGGGAGGGGAGUGAAAGAGAACCUGAAACCUUGUGCUUACAAACAGUCAAAGGCCUACGGGCUGAUGGCGUACUUUUUGUAGAACGGUCCGGCGAGUUACUAAUGCCAGCGAGGUUAAGUGGUCAGAAGCCACGGAGCCGAAGGGAAACCAAGUCUGAAUAGGGCGUAGAGUUGGUAUUAGUAGACCCGAAACCGGGUGACCUAUCCAUGUCCAGGUUGAAGGAACCGUAAAAGGUUUUGGAGGACCGAACACACAUGUGUUGAAAAACGUGGUGAUGAGGUGUGGAUAGCGGAGAAAUUCCAAUCGAACUCGGAGAUAGCUGGUUCUCCUCGAAAUAGCUUUAGGGCUAGCCUCGAGCUGGAGUCUAACGGAGGUAAAGCACUGAACUGACGCGGGGCCCAAAAAGGUUACCAACUCAUAUCAAACUAAGAAUGCCGUCAAGAUACCCUCGGGAGUCAGUCUGCGUGAGAUAAGUCGCGUGGACAAAAGGGAAAGAGCCCAGACCGACAGCUAAGGUCCCAAAGUACGUGUUAAGUGGAAAAGGAUGUGGGAUUUCAUAGACAACUAGGAUGUUGGCUUAGAAGCAGCCAUACAUUUAAAGAGUGCGUAAUAGCUCACUAGUCGAGAAAACCUGCGCCGAAAAUGUAACGGGGCUAAAACACGACACCGAAGCUACGGAUUUCCUACUAGGUAGGAAGUGGUAGAGGAGCAUCCUGCAAGGACGAAGCCAAAGUGAGAGCGAUGGUGGACGAAACAGGAGAGAGAAUGCCGGAAUGAGUAGCGAGAUACAUGUGAGAAACAUGUAGGCCGAAUAUCUAAGGAUUCCUGGGUAAAGCUAAUCUUCCCAGGGUUAGUCGGGGCCUAAGGCGAGGACGAAAGUCGUAGUCGAUGGAUAACAGGUUGAUAUUCCUGUACUACACAUAAUCAGAACUGUGGGGACGCAGGAGGAUAGGGAAACCGGGGAAUGGAAAGACCCGGUCAAGCGCAAAGCUGUGGGAGAUAGGCAAAUCCGUCUCCUGUAAGUGAAGCGUGAUGAGGACUGAAAAAAAGUAAGGAAGUUUCCGAAUCCACACUGCCGAGAAAAGCCGCUAUUGCGUUAUGUGUACCCGUACCGUAAACCGACACAGGUAGAUGAGGAGAAAAUCCACAGGCCGACGGGAGAAGUGUUGUUAAGGAACUCGGCAAAAUGACCCCGUAACUUCGGGAUAAGGGGAGCCUCGCAAGAGGCCGCAGAAAAGAGGCACAAGCAACUGUUUAGCAAAAACAUAGGUCUAUGCGAAACCGUAAGGUGAAGUAUAUGGGCUGACGCCUGCCCGGUGCUGGAAGGUUAAAAGGAGAGGUCAGCGCAAGCGAAGCUUUGAAUUCAAGCCCCAGUAAACGGCGGCCGUAACUAUAACGGUCCUAAGGUAGCGAAAUUCCUUGUCAGGUAAGUUCUGACCCGC
RNAcentral lists this ribosomal RNA (1963 nucleotides) under human gut metagenome. RNAcentral's name for it is "bacterial LSU rRNA". It matches the Rfam family "Bacterial large subunit ribosomal RNA", at positions 3 to 1991 of the family's 2925-position model. The record is from RNAcentral.